Long non-coding RNA from Oncorhynchus keta (chum salmon), 1552 nucleotides. RefSeq lists it as uncharacterized. The transcript has 6 exons. Lineage: Eukaryota; Metazoa; Chordata; Actinopteri; Salmoniformes; Salmonidae. The record is from RefSeq and is a predicted model, not a curated record.
ACAGAUGGAACAUGGUCCAGGCUUGAUGCAGAAACAGGUGAACAGUUUUGGAACACUGAGCCAUUGACUGCCUGCACCAGGUGGCUGUGUUACAAGUGGGCACUGGACUACAGCCAUAUAUACUGAACCAUUGACUGCCUGCACCAGGUGGCUGUGUUACAAGUGGGCACUGGACUACAGCCAUAUAUACUGAACCAUUGACUGCCUGCACCAGGUGGCUGUGUUACAAGUGGGCACUGGACUACAGCCAUAUAUACUGAACCAUUGACUGCCUGCACCAGGUGGCUGUGUUACAAGUGGGCACUGGACUACAGCCAUAUAUACUGAACCAUUGACUGCCUGCACCAGGUGGCUGUGUUACAAGUGGGCACUGGACUACAGCCAUAUAUACUGAACCAUUGACUGCCUGCACCAGGUGGCUGUGUUACAAGUGGGCACUGGACUACAGCCAUAUAUACUGAACCAUUGACUGCCUGCACCAGGUGGCUGUGUUACAAGUGGGCACUGGACUACAGCCAUAUAUACUGAACCAUUGACUGCCUGCACCAGGUGGCUGUGUUACAAGUGGGCACUGGACUACAGCCAUAUAUACUGAACCAUUGACUGCCUGCACCAGGUGGCUGUGUUACAAGUGGGCACUGGACUACAGCCAUAUAUACUGAACCAUUGACUGCCUGCACCAGGUGGCUGUGUUACAAGUGGGCACUGGACUACAGCCAUAUAUACUGAACCAUUGACUGCCUGCACCAGGUGGCUGUGUUACAAGUGGGCACUGGACUACAGCCAUAUAUACUGAACCAUUGACUGCCUGCACCAGGUGGCUGUGUUACAAGUGGGCACUGGACUACAGCCAUAUAUACUGAACCAUUGACUGCCUGCACCAGGUGGCUGUGUUACAAGUGGGCACUGGACUACAGCCAUAUAUACUGAACCAUUGACUGCCUGCACCAGGUGGCUGUGUUACAAGUGGGCACUGGACUACAGCCAUAUAUACUGAACCAUUGACUGCCUGCACCAGGUGGCUGUGUUACAAGUGGGCACUGGACUACAGCCAUAUAUACUGAACCAUUGACUGCCUGCACCAGGUGGCUGUGUUACAAGUGGGCACUGGACUACAGCCAUAUAUACUGAACCAUUGACUGCCUGCACCAGGUGGCUGUGUUACAAGUGGGCACUGGACUACAGCCAUAUAUACUGAACCAUUGACUGCCUGCACCAGGUGGCUGUGUUACAAGUGGGCACUGGACUACAGCCAUAUAUACUGAACCAUUGACUGCCUGCACCAGGUGGCUGUGUUACAAGUGGGCACUGGACUACAGCCAUAUAUACUGAACCAUUGACUGCCUGCACCAGGUGGCUGUGUUACAAGUGGGCACUGGACUACAGCCAUAUAUACUGAACCAUUGACUGCCUGCACCAGGUGGCUGUGUUACAAGUGGGCACUGGACUACAGCCAUAUAUACUGAACCAUUGACUGCCUGCACCAGGUGGCUGUGUUACAAGUGGGCACUGGACUACAGCCAUAUAUACUGAACCAUUGACUGCCUGCAUC